RNAcentral lists this unclassified non-coding RNA (430 nucleotides) under soil metagenome. Its description in RNAcentral is "partial contains 5.8S ribosomal RNA, internal transcribed spacer 2, and large subunit ribosomal RNA". The stretch from base 1 to 120 matches the Rfam family "5.8S ribosomal RNA", at positions 35 to 154 of the family's 154-position model. The record is from RNAcentral.
GAUGAAGAACGCAGCGAAAUGCGAUACGUAAUGUGAAUUGCAGAAUUCAGUGAAUCAUCGAAUCUUUGAACGCAUAUUGCGCUCUCUGGUAUUCCGGAGAGCAUGCUUGUUUGAGUAUCAGUAAACACCUCAACUCCUUUUUCUUUUUUGAAAUUGGAGCUGGACUUGAGUGAUCCCAACGCUUUCUUCCAAGAAAGUGGCGGGUUGCUUGAAAUGCAGGUGCAGCUGAACUUUUCUCUGAGCUAUAAGCAUAUCUAUUUAGUCUGCCUAAAAAACAGAUUAUUACCUUUGCUGCAGCUAACAUAAAGGAGACUAGUUCUUGUGCUGACUGAUGCAGGAUUCACAGAGACAGCUUCGGCUGACUUUGUAAACUCGAUCUCAAAUCAAGUAAGACUACCCGCUGAACUUAAGCAUAUCAAUAAGCGGAGGA